CUCUUCAUGGUCAGGCCCCUUCAUAUCUUAAAGAGCUCAUAGUACCCUAUUACCCCACUAGAACACUACGUUCUCUGAAUGCUGGGCUACUUGUGGUUCCUAUAGUCUCUAAAAGUAGAACAGGAGCCAGAGCCUUCAGUUACCAAGCUCCUCUCCUGUGGAACCAGCUUCCAGUUGUGGUUUGGGAGGCAGACACCCUCUCCACAUUCAAGAGUAGGCUUAAGACAUUCCUCUUUGAUAAAGCUUAUAGUUAGGGCUGGAUCAGGUGAGUCCUGAACCAUCCCUUAGUUAUGCUGCUAUAGGCCUAGACUAUCGGGGGAUUUCCCAUGGUGCACUGAGCUCCUCCCUUCCUCUCUCUUUCUGCACUCAUUCAUGUCCCAUUAAUGCAUGUUACUAACUUCACUUCUUCCCCGGAGUUCUUGUGCUUUCUCGUCUCGCAGGUUCUUGUCGAUCCUGGUGGAGCCUCCUGCCAUGGUCCUGCUAGAUUGCCAUUGCCAAUACUGUUGUUGCUGUGCACCUAUCUGUCUGUUUGUCUCUCUCUCUGUCUCUCUCUCUCUCUCUCACCCCAACUGGUCGAGACAGACGACCACCCACCUAGAGCCGGAGGAUCUGUCCUAGGUUUCUGCCUUUUAACAGGCAGUUUUUCCUUGCCCUUGUCUCCAAGUGCUUGCUCAUGGUGGUACUGUUGGGUCUCUGUAAUUAAUGUUUUAAAGAGUUCGGUCUAGACCUGCUCUAUUUGAAAAGUGUCCUGAGAUAACUUCUGUUAUGAAUUGGCGCUAUACAAAUAAAAUUGAAUUGAAU
Long non-coding RNA from Dicentrarchus labrax (European seabass), 801 nucleotides. RefSeq lists it as uncharacterized. The transcript is spliced from 2 exons. Lineage: Eukaryota; Metazoa; Chordata; Actinopteri; Moronidae. The record is from RefSeq and is a predicted model, not a curated record.